RNAcentral lists this ribosomal RNA (433 nucleotides) under uncultured bacterium. RNAcentral's name for it is "partial 16S ribosomal RNA". It matches the Rfam family "Bacterial small subunit ribosomal RNA", at positions 29 to 507 of the family's 1533-position model. The record is from RNAcentral.
AACGAACGCUGGCGGCAUGCCUAACACAUGCAAGUCGAACGAGACCUUCGGGUCUGGUGGCGCACGGGUGCGUAACGCGUGGGAACCUGCCCUUAGGUUCGGAAUAACUCCCCGAAAGGGGUGCUAAUACCGGAUAAUGUCUUCGGACCAAAGAUUUAUCGCCUUUGGAUGGGCCCGCGUUGGAUUAGCUAGUUGGUAGGGUAAAAGCCUACCAAGGCGACGAUCCAUAGCUGGUCUGAGAGGAUGAUCAGCCACACUGGGACUGAGACACGGCCCAGAAUCCUACGGGAGGCAGCAGUGGGGAAUAUUGGACAAUGGGCGAAAGCCUGAUCCAGCAAUGCCGCGUGAGUGAUGAAGGCCUUAGGGUUGUAAAGCUCUUUUACCCGGGAUGAUAAUGACAGUACCGGGAGAAUAAGCUCCGGCUAACUCCGUG